AUUUAGUGUAAAUUUAAGCUACAAAGAGAAAAAGAAAUAUUCUGAUCAUAUCAUGAUAUUGAUACAUGGUAAAGAUCACUCAGUUAUAUCAAGGCGAAUGUGCUUGAGAAUCACCGGAAUUACAGUUUCUGGUGAGCUCAACUGGGGCAAGUGGCCGCCGGUUGGCAUGACCUCAACGAUGGAUUGGCCACCAAUAUUUUGAUGCAAAUAUUCAGAUACGAACACUGGCACAGCCAUGUCCUUCAUACUUUGCAGGAUGUGGCAAGGGGUCGUAACCAAGGGUAGAACAUGUCUCAUAUCGGUUAGAAAUAUAACCUGGGCUAAACUUAGUGCUAUAUCAGGUCUCAUAUUGAAGAGGGUUCGGGAGAAUUCUUGCACCGCUACCGAGUCCAUGUCUCCACCCACCACUAGAGGGGCG
This 418-nucleotide unclassified non-coding RNA is filed under the name Hevea brasiliensis (rubber tree). The record is from RNAcentral. Lineage: Eukaryota; Viridiplantae; Streptophyta; Magnoliopsida; Malpighiales; Euphorbiaceae.